GUUGUAGCUCAGUGGUGGAGCAUCUGCCUUGAAGGUCCCAAGUUCAAUUCCUGGCAUCUCCA
This 62-nucleotide transfer RNA is filed under the name Podarcis lilfordi (Lilford's wall lizard). RNAcentral's name for it is "tRNA.Leu". It matches the Rfam family "tRNA". From Rfam's summary of the family: Transfer RNA (tRNA) molecules are approximately 80 nucleotides in length. Their secondary structure includes four short double-helical elements and three loops (D, anti-codon, and T loops). The record is from RNAcentral. Lineage: Eukaryota; Metazoa; Chordata; Lepidosauria; Squamata; Lacertidae.